AGGAUUAACGCUGGCGGCGUGCCUAACACAUGCAAGUCGAACGAGGUAGCAAUACCUAGUGGCAGACGGGUGAGUAGCGCGUGGUCAACCUACCGUUGAGUGGGGGAUAACUAGCCGAAAGGUUAGCUAAUACCGCAUACGUCUCCGAGGGGCAUCCCUUGGCGAUAAAAGGAGCAAUCCGCUCGAUGACGGGACCGCGUCCCAUUAGCUAGUUGGUGAGGUAAUGGCCCACCAAGGCUCCGAUGGGUAGCUGGUUUGAGAGAGCGACCAGCCACACUGGGACUGAGAUACGGCCCAGACUCCUACGGGAGGCAGCAGUGAGGAAUUUUCCGCAAUGGGCGAAAGCCUGACGGAGCGACGCCGCGUGUGGGAAGAAGGCCUUCGGGUCGUAAACCACUGUCGAAGGGAAGAUAUUGACGGUACCCUUGGAGGAAGCCCCGGCUAACUACGCGCCAGCAGCCGC
This 463-nucleotide ribosomal RNA is filed under the name uncultured bacterium. Its description in RNAcentral is "SSU rRNA". It matches the Rfam family "Bacterial small subunit ribosomal RNA", at positions 26 to 518 of the family's 1533-position model. The record is from RNAcentral.